GACGAACGCUGGCGGCGUGCCUAACACAUGCAAGUUGAGCGACGAACCAGGGCUUGCCCUGGGGCAAAGCAGCGAACGGGUGAGUAACACGUGGGUAACCUACCCCGAUAACCGGGACAACCCGAGGAAACUCGGGCUAAUACCGGAUGUGCUCACUGGACUUCGGCUCAGUGCGUAAAGGAAGCUUCGGCCUCCGUAUCGGGAGGGGCCCGCGGCCCAUUAGUUUGUUGGUGAGGUAACGGCUCACCAAGACCGCGAUGGGUAGCUGGUCUGAGAGGACGAUCAGCCACACUGGGACUGAGACACGGCCCAGACUCCUACGGGAGGCAGCAGUGGGGAAUCUUGCGCAAAGCGCGAAAGCGUGACGCAGCAACGCCGCGUGGGGGAAGAAGGCCUUCGGGUUGUAAACCCCUUUCAGGAGGGACGAAGGUUCGGCGGUGAAUAGCCGUCCGGACUGACGGUACCUCCACAAGAAGCCCCGGCUAACUACGUG
Molecule: ribosomal RNA, 493 nt
Filed under: uncultured bacterium
Lineage: Bacteria
Description: partial 16S ribosomal RNA
Rfam family: Bacterial small subunit ribosomal RNA
Source: RNAcentral